Molecule: ribosomal RNA, 463 nt
Filed under: uncultured bacterium
Lineage: Bacteria
Description: partial 16S ribosomal RNA
Rfam family: Bacterial small subunit ribosomal RNA
Source: RNAcentral
GACGAACGCUGGCGGCGUGCUUAACACAUGCAAGUCGAACGGAAAGGCCUUUUCGGAGGUACUCGAGUGGCGAACGGGUGAGUAACACGUGGGUGAUCUGCCCUGCACUCUGGGAUAAGCCUGGGAAACUGGGUCUAAUACCGGAUAGGACCGCACUUUAGUGUGUGUGGUGGAAAGUUGUUUCGGUGUAGGAUGAGCCCGCGGCCUAUCAGCUUGUUGGUGGGGUAAUGGCCUACCAAGGCGGCGACGGGUAGCCGGACUGAGAGGUUGGUCGGCCACAUUGGGACUGAGAUACGGCCCAGACUCCUACGGGAGGCAGCAGUGGGGAAUAUUGCACAAUGGGCGCAAGCCUGAUGCAGCGACGCCGCGUGGGGGAUGACGGCCUUCGGGUUGUAAACUCCUUUCGCCAGGGACGAAGCGUUUUGUGGCGGUACCUGGAGAAGAAGCACCGGCUAACUACGUG